Molecule: unclassified non-coding RNA, 540 nt
Filed under: Zea mays
Lineage: Eukaryota; Viridiplantae; Streptophyta; Magnoliopsida; Poales; Poaceae
Description: misc RNA Zm00001eb048450
Source: RNAcentral
CCAAAAUCUCGCAAUCCAAGCCACCCGAGCCAUCCACGAGAAUCAAUCAUCCAACAUCCUCGCCCCAAAUCGACCCCAAAUCGACGCCAACCUCUCAUCUACGCAGAUGAUGGUGUUCCUUAAAGACCAUGCCACCCCAAUCCCCAUCGCACCCAAGACAGAUAUCCGCUGCCACCCCAAUCCCAAUCCUCGGCGGCGGCGCCCUCCAAUCCAACAAGUGGCUCUCCAAUCCCCAUCCUGGUUGGAGAAAAAAAUCAUGGUUAAAGUAGUGUUCAUUUCAAUCUCCAUGUUGUCUGCAAAGGCCAAAAGUUAUCUAAUGCAGCAGCCUUAUACAAGUCAUUCAAAGCUUAUGAAGAAGACUCCAGGAGCAGCUUUAAGAAACAAGAAAGAAAUUAUCAGUGUCGUGUGCCGGUCAUCAGAAAACUUUUCUUGACCACCAACUCCAAGCGAUCUAACAGAUUAUUGUAUAAUUGCGCUGUUGGAAUUGUGUCUAUGGUCUGUAGCCUGUUCGGCGUGACUCAAAAUAUAAACCUUUGAAUA